UAGCCAAAUGGUUAAGGCUAUGGAUCGCCGAUCCGGAGACGACGGGUUCAAUUCCCGU
Aedes albopictus (Asian tiger mosquito) is the source of this 58-nucleotide non-coding RNA. The record is from Rfam. Lineage: Eukaryota; Metazoa; Arthropoda; Insecta; Diptera; Culicidae.